This 262-nucleotide ribosomal RNA is filed under the name uncultured bacterium. Its description in RNAcentral is "partial 16S ribosomal RNA". It matches the Rfam family "Bacterial small subunit ribosomal RNA", at positions 92 to 354 of the family's 1533-position model. The record is from RNAcentral.
UUAGUGGCGGACGGGUGAGUAACGCGUGGGUAACCUGCCUUACACAGGGGGAUAACACUUAGAAAUAGGUGCUAAAACCGCAUAAGCGCACAGCUUCGCAUGAAGCGGUGUGAAAAACUCCGGUGGUGUAAGAUGGACCCGCGUCUGAUUAGCUUGUUGGCGGGGUAACGGCCCACCAAGGCGACGAUCAGUAGCCGGACUGAGAGGUUGACCGGCCACAUUGGGACUGAGAUACGGCCCAGACUCCUACGGGAGGCAGCAG